GCUGGGUGUGAUGGCACACACCUGUAAUCCCAGCUACUUGGGAGGCUGAGGUGGGAGAAUUGCUUGAAUCCGGGAGACAGAGGCUGCAGUGAGCCAAGAUCAUGCCACUGCACUCCAGCCUGGGUGACAGAGCGAGACUCCAUCUCAA
Molecule: non-coding RNA, 148 nt
Filed under: Gorilla gorilla gorilla (western lowland gorilla)
Lineage: Eukaryota; Metazoa; Chordata; Mammalia; Primates; Hominidae
Source: Rfam by way of RNAcentral